GCCAUCCAUGACGAGUUGUUCGUAGUCGCUAGCGUUCACCUUCUUGCCAGACACCCCGAGCACCGGUACCGUGGUAGCGAUGCAGUCCUCCAAUAAGUAGCUGCCUGCUGACUCGUCGGAACGCCCAUCGGCAGCACGAACAUAGGUGUUGUUGUGGCACACCGUCUCCACGAGCCCUGCGCCUUGCGGCGGCGGCUUGGUGCAGUUGUAGAAGAUGAGGUUCUGAUUGGCGGGACUAUUCGAGAGCGGAGGAGCAAGUACGGGGAUGUUGUCGGCCGUCGGGAUUCGGCACCCACCGGUGCUAGAGCUAGUAUUGAAAUAUGGAUGCCAGUAUCUACGCGGAGCGAUGUGCAAGGAGCGGUUGUCGUAAAAUAUGCUGAGGAUCUGCAGACUGAUAUCGCUCUGAGAGUAUUCGAGGUAUAGGGAGCUAUUGUUAUAGCAAUGGACCUUGAACCCAAUCCCGAUAUCGCCGCAGCUGGUCUGAUUAUCCAGGAUGAGCCCAAACGGGAAGGAGACGGUCACGUUGCCACAUAGCACGGGCGGACAGUGCUCUCCUCCUGGCCCAGGUGCUGCUGCCACAGGCUGUAUCAUCAGUGGUAAGGACGACAAGGCCACCCACACCGACGACGAGACUAGGAAGAGCAGCAGCGAGGAUGGAACCAGCAGAGCCAUGGCGGAAAGCUUCGACGACGGCAUUAGCAGGACGAACAGAACAGGAACAGGUGUGGCUGAGUAAAUAGUGAAGCUGAGUCCGCGCGUCGUGUGUGCCUGCGUAGUAGACCUCGGAAGACUUUGACUGGGGCAUUCGGGCCGUCGUCGUCAUCGGUGCACGGAAUUCCGAGGUGCCCGAUGGGCGGGGCAAGGCGACGACGACGACUGACGUGACCGUGGACACGCGCUCCCACAGUAUAAGCAGGCACGCUCCUGCCGCCCGGCCAACGAGCUCCUCUCACUUUUGCCGGCCAAAGUGAGACUAGCUAGGCAGACAUUUGGAAAUGGUCGUCGCAUUCACAAUGCUCUAUAUAGAUAUGAUUUUGGCUUGUUUGCAAAAGCUACCAAAGUAACAACAGCCUAGCUAGAGUACGUGUUUUUUUUAACGGAACUCAUAUACUCCUGAUUUUGCACGGUUAAUUUAUGUCGAUGCGUGGUUAUUCCACAAACAAAACCUAACUCUAUUUGAGCGAUCGUUCAUCGUUCACUCGAUUUGGAUUUGGUGAAUGAUUAGACCGCGACUUCACUGCCCGCGCGCUUUUUUAUUGCUGUGACGUCACUGCUCACACAGGCUAUAAAAAGCAAAAUAUUUAUUUUAAAAUAUUAUAACUUCUAAACUGUGUAUUUAUUUUUAUUCCGUCUACAUCAGACGCGACGAGACGAACAAACUAGACGUCAUUCGUAUAUUCAAAGAAUAUUUUCUAGUAGCAAUUUAUAUGUAUUAACUUAUAAUAUAUAAGUUAUAACUUACAACUUCAUGUGCACGGCGGUGAUGGUGACGGCUGGCUGGAGCCGGGCACAGGCAGCGGCCUGGUGGAGUAGGGUGUGGGCACUGGCAAGGUAGCAGGGGGCGGGCUUCGUGUACCAGAACGGUGGCGUAGGAGAGGUCGCCGAUGUAUAGCACUAUGUCGCGCGAAAGGAGAAUGCUCAUUGGCGUGGCGGAGAGAAAAUGCAUUAGGGAUUUAGGGGGGGGGGGGGGGUUGACCGAAGUGCACGGUUUUUUGCAAAAUUUUUUAGAUUUCCCGUCACAUCGAAUCUUUAGACGCAUGCAUGGAGUAUUAAAUAUAGAUAAAAAUAAAAAUUAAUUACACAGUUUAGUUGGAGUUGACGAGACGGAUUUUUUGAGCCUAGUUAGUCCAUGAUUGCACAAUAUUUGUCAAAUACAAACGAAAGUGCUACAGUGUCGAUUUUCCAAAAAUUGCCUCAACAUGAACAUGUAGGCAAAGGUUAAGAAAGUAGUAUAUUAACAACAACUUGAGUUUUUUUUACUUUUUUAUGGAACCAAAUUACUACUGACUUUUGCAGGAUGAGUUUAGACGUCUUUGUCACAAAUUCUUUUUUGGAAAAAAUGUUUCUGUCCAUUUCCUAGCAGCGGAAUCGGUGCCAUUUGGCGGAUAAGGGUGAAGAUGCUCAUGCUAGAAAAAAAUAUAUCUAGUGGAAUCUUGUCAGUGUCAGCCAAAGCAAACCUUUAACAUUUCCACGGCAUCCUUACUUGCCAGUGGAAAACAAAUGCAAAACAACAACAACUGAAAUAUAUAUUUAGGUCCACUUGAGAUUAGCAAUAAGUAUGCUACUAAUAGGGCUGGGGACUGGGGAGUGCAGCCCUAUUAUUUUUGCUAGUUUCAGUCAAAUUUUAAGAGAAAUGUGAGCAUUCCUAAACAGAGUGCUAGUUUAAAGGCAUUAUAACUACUCAUCCUGCCAACAGCUUAUUCGCCAUACUCUGUUUGUGUGUGUUUAGUGGCCGUGGGAGGUACGCACAUCUUCUUCUUGCUGUGAGAAUACUGUAGCUUUUCACAUCGAGUACAAAUGUACAAUAUGUUCUCUUUUUAGUUGAAUUUCCCUUUUCUCUUUUUGUUAGCAUCGUGCAUGGAAAAUUGUUGAGAUCAGACACUUCAAAGAAUUUGAUGGUUUGUCUCAAAUGUAGAGACUUUAAAGUAUGUUUUUUCACAUCAUCUCCUGCAUUUGUAGGCGCCUGAAAUCAGCCUUGAUUUUCAUGCCAUGCCUUCCUAUAUAUACACAGCAACUUAGGAUUUAGGGGGGGAUUAAGGGGAUUGUGGAUCAUAGCCUUAGGCUAGUCUCAAUGUAUGUUUCAUGAGAGUGUCAUGCAUAUUAAAUAGGGUGCCACAUAAGUAAAAUUGUUGACUUGGCAGAGUCAUUAAAUGAAGGAGUUUUAUUAGAUGAGAGGGGAGUUUCAUCCCAAUGAAACUCAUGUGACUCGAUUACCUAGUUUAUAAUCUUGGUAACUGUGCCAUAAAACUAUACAUGAGACUGGCCUACAAAAGGGUUAAAGGGAGGCAGGCUUAUCCGACGAAGGAGGCGGCUUGCCAGGGGCGGCGGUGAGGGUGCCACUCUCACCAUCAUUUGUCGUUGGUGGUCAAAAGACAACCGGUGGGCAGAGAAUAGGUAGGGUGCACAGAGUCUAAGGCAAUGACAAAGCUAGUUAGUGCGGCGGAGGUGGCAGCAGCGGACCUAGCGCCGGCAACACCGGGGAUGGGUGGUGGAGGGCGGGAGGCGAGGGAACGUACACGGAAGAAAGAAAGAGGUAAGAAGCAUCUAUGACUCAUGAGGGAGCAAUCUGGCUUGAGAAAGAAGAAAAAAGCGAGCUAUUAAAUCUUGACCAUAUGACUCAUAUUCAUCGUCUGAUAAAACCUUUAAUCAGGCAUAUGAAUUUUAGCAACUUUGAACCGGUGAAAUGGAAGGUCAAAAACCGAGUUCUUUAUUGAAGGUUCUAAUCUAGAUGGAAUUGAUAUAUGUAACGUAAGUUUUGUUCUAGGAUUUGGUUAGGGAUAAGAGUAGUUGCGCUCAUAGCAGUAAAAUAGUAGAUGUUUUUCUAAAGGCACUAACAUUAAUAUGUAAAGAAAGUCUGGUGGGACAUAAAUAUUUCCAACGAGUAAACCUACUUUCUUCAUAUAGAAUUUAGAUGUCGUUUUAGACAAAGUUUGAGUCAAAUAUUGAGAAUAUAAAUCAUCAAUAACUUUUAAGUUAUUGAGUUUGCAAAUAUAAAAAUUAUAUAAAUAGAUUUGUCUUGAAAAAUACUUUUAUAUAAGUAUAAAUAUAUUAUUUUUUUUAAAUAUUUUUAUAAAAAUAAGAGGUCAAAGUAGUGUGUUUUGGAUAUCUUAUCACUAUUCUAAACGACUUGUCCGUAGAAAGUGCCUCCUACUUUGACCAGGAAGAAAAUUAAAGCGGCAAAUCGGUGGCCAUUGUGUGUCCGUAGCCGUACGCCACUUUCUGCACCCACUUGCCACAAAUGGACAUGCAGCAAAGCAAAAAAAAAGUACUCAGGCCUUGUUUAGUUUCGAAAAGUGAAAAAUUUCGGUACUGUAGCACUUUCGUUUGUUUGUGACAAAUAUUAUCCAAUCAUAGACUAACUAGGAUCAAAAGAUUCGUCUCGUGAAUUAAUUAGUUUUUGUUUUUGUCUAUAUUUAAUAUUUUAUGCAUUUGCCACAAGAUUCAAUGUGACGGAGAAUCUUGAAAACUUUUUGGUUUUUAGGUUGAACUAAACUAGGCCUCAUAUGCUUCCAUCGAUGCGUCAACCACUAAUCAUACGCACGAUAACAGGACACGAGAUUGCUAAAUGAUGGCAGCAGGUUGACGUGACGCCCCGCCCUCUCCCUUGUUGCUUGGCACAAAUUUAGGCCAAUAAAAAUAGGAGUAGGUAUCCAAAAUUCCAAAUCGAAAAUGAUGACCCUGAUUUGGGGGGCUAUUGUGGAGAAGUUGCUCUAAGGUUGUUAAAAUUGUUAUUCCUAAUCGAAUUAGAACUUAAUGGCAGGAUCAGAAAUCAUACUACUAGACUGUAUCUAACAAAAUCACAGAAUUAACCCAACAAACUAAGAUCACACGGGCAUGAACACACGAGAUAAUAACCAUGACUCCCAGCUGCCGCUGGCCAAAACUACCGGUGGAUCGAGGGAACAGGGAAGGCAUAUCCAAGGGCACUCAUGGUGAGAUGAGAGCUACUCUGCAAAUGGGUACCUUAAUUUUUUUUAUUGAACAAUGGGUACCUUAAUUCCAUGGGCACUAUGAAGGAUAUGACUAUGAACUCCUCUCAUUUCUAUGUCAGCCAGCCCUGAUUCGAAGCUAUAUAGACCAAAGCAAUUAUUCCUCUUCCUGCUAAGCUAAUAGAGAGAGAUUCGAUAUAAUACUAGCUAGCUAAUUCCAAGAGCGAAGUUACCUGACGACGGCGGCGGCGGCAACUGCCAUGUCGCGAGGAAGCCGUCCCAGACGAGUUGCUGGUAGUUGCUAGCGUUCACCUCGCCAGACAUUCCAAGAACCGGCACCAUGGCAGCGGUGCAGCCUUCCAAAGAGUAGCUGCCUUCUGACGACUCGUCGGAACCCCCACCGUCGUCGGCGGCGGCACGAACAAACGUGUUGUUGUGGGCCUGGUGGCACACCGUCUCCACGAGGUCCACACCAGGCGACGACGGCGACGGCGGCGGCGGCGGCUUGUCGCAGUUGUAGAAGAUGAGGUUCUGAUUGACGGAGCUGAUCGAGAAGGGACGAACAAGACGGGACGAGGUCUUGGCCGGGAAGGCGCGGCAUCUUCCACGGCUACUUGUAUUGAAAUACGCAGGCCAGUGUCUGUCGGCGACGAGCAAGGACUGGUUGUGGUAGAAGAUGCUGAGGAUCUGCAUGUCCUGCUCGCUCUGAAAGGAUCCGAGGUAGGCGACGUUGCUGUCACUGCAACUGACCUCGAACCCGAUCUCGGCGCCGCAGUCGGUCUGCGCGGCGCCGUCCGGGAUGAGCCCGAACGGGAAGGAGAUGGUCACGUUGCCGCAUAGCUGUGGAGGACAGUGAUCUCCGCCUUGCCCAUCUGAUGCCACCCACACCGACGACGAGACUAGUAGGAAGAGCAGCAACGAGGAUGGAACCAGCUGAGCCAUGGCGGAAAGCUUCGAAGAUGGCGCCUUGCGCAGGACGAACACAGAAGGGUGAUUAUAUAUAUUGUUGAACCGCUCACACUCUGGCCUCAUCACAGGCGCACACACACACACAGAGGUGUGGCUGACUAAAUAGUGAAGGUGAUCAGUCCGCGUCGUCGUGUCGUGUGGCUGAGCUAGUGAGUAAUAAAUAUAAAUAGACGCAAAAACUUUGACUGAGGGGCAUUCGGGCCGUCGUCGUGGACACACGGAACUUCCGAGGUGCCCAUACGGGCCACGGCGACGACUGACGUGACCGCGAAUGCGCGCUCCAUCCCACACGGAGCCUGCAUCCUGCCGGCCGGCCAACGAGCUCCUCUCACUUUUUUUUGCCAAACAUAUACACCAAGCCACCAAAAUCUAUUCUUAUUUAUAGAUUUUCAUCUGGCACUAACACGAUGGGCCGGCCCGAACACGACACUAAAAAGUACGAUCCAGGUACGGCACGCCCGAUAGUAGUGCCGUGCCUGGACCGCAACUUCGGCCCGCAGUGUCUGUACGGGCACGGUACGGUUAAUAGGCUGACACGACGCUGGCAUGAUUAUUUUCAUCGUCUGAUGCUUUGAUGAUAGAUCAUGACCAUUGAAUGUAUUUUGAGCCAUGUAUACAAACAUCACAUAACCCUUCCAAACCCUAACUCCCUAGUCGGCGGCGCAGACACAUCCUUGCUGCGGCCACUCUUUCUCCCGCCUGACUAUACGAGAGCGGUGGCGCUCGUCUUUUUCUUGAGGCAGGGCGUAGUGAGCUUCUCGACUUCUCCCGAAGCCAUGGGCUGACACGGCCACGAUGGGCCACCGUGCCUAUCGGCACGGCACGGCACGGUUGCCUAAGCGGAGAGUUUGGCACGAUGACCUGAGACGGCACGGCACGAUAGACAUAGUAUCGCAUAAUGUCAUAUAGUGCCAGGGCCGGACCGCCGGUUUGGUUAAGUAUAUUCUUAUUCGUACGUACGGCCGGGGAGACGAGCUAGCAGAUUUUGGAAGUGGUCGACGCAGUAAUAUAAUGCUCCGGGAUAUGGUUUUGGGCUUGUAGUUCCAACCUGAAUGUGUUUGCAAAACUUACCAAAGUAACUACAGCCUAGCGUGCUUUUUUUUAACGGAACUCAACUGCUCAUGACUUUGUGUAAAGGACAGCAAAAGCUUUGCCAUAAUUUUUUACUAAACGGAGAAAAAAGCAAACAAACUAGCUACUUAACCAAGCGUUUCAGUCUUGGUUGAUGUCAUCCUUGCACAAACUAGAAAGGUAGAAAUAGCUACUUGCCGGAUUGUGCCAGCAUACUUUUUACUUGCGGGUGAUUGUCACGGUCAGCCAAAGCAACAGCUCCAAGAUUUUGUCGACAAACUUUACUUGCAAGUGCGCCAAGAGAAGUUACCUGGUAGUGGCGGCGGCAACGGCGGCAGUGGCAGCGGCGGCGGCGGCCAUGUUGCGAGGAAGCCAUCCCUGACGAGUUGCUCGUAGUCGCUAGCGUUCACCUUCUUGCCAGACACCCCGAGCACCGGUACCAUGGUAAAGUUGCAGCCCUCCAAUAAGUAGCUGCCUGCUGACUCGUCGGAACGCCCAUCGGCAGCACGAACAUAGGUGUUGUUGUGGCACACCGUCUCCACGAGCCCUGCGCCUUGCGGCGGCGGCUUGGUGCAGUUGUAGAAGAUGAGGUUCUGAUUGGCGGGACUAUUCGAGAGCGGAGGAGCAAGUACGGGGAUGGUGUCGGCCGUCGGGAUUCGGCACCCACCGCUGCUAGAGCUAGUAUUGAAAUAUGGAUGCCAGUAUCUACGCGGAGCGAUGUGCAAGGAGCGGUUGUCGUAAAAUAUGCUGAGGAUCUGCAGACUGAUAUCGCUCUGAGAGUAUUCGAGGUAUAGGGAGCUAUUGUUAUAGCAAUGGACCUUGAACCCAAUCCCGAUAUCGCCGCAGCUGGUCUGAUUAUCCAGGAUGAGCCCAAACGGGAAGGAGACGGUCACGUUGCCACAUAGCACGGGCGGACAGUGCUCUCCUCCUGGCCCAGGUGCUGCUGCCACAGGCUGUAUCAUCAGUGGUAAGGACGACAAGGCCACCCACACCGACGACGAGACUAGGAAGAGCAGCAGCGAGGAUGGAACCAGCAGAGCCAUGGCGGAAAGCUUCGACGACGGCAUUAGCAGGACGAACAGAACAGGAACAGGUGUGGCUGAGUAAAUAGUGAAGCUGAGUCCGCGCGUCGUGUGUGCCUGCGUAGUAGACCUCGGAAGACUUUGACUGGGGCAUUCGGGCCGUCGUCGUCAUCGGUGCACGGAAUUCCGAGGUGCCCGAUGGGCGGGGCAAGGCGACGACGACGACUGACGUGACCGUGGACACGCGCUCCCACAGUAUAAGCAGGCACGCUCCUGCCGCCCGGCCAACGAGCUCCUCUCACUUUUGCCGGCCAAAGUGAGACUAGCUAGGCAGACAUUUGGAAAUGGUCGUCGCAUUCACAAUGCUCUAUAUAGAUAUGAUUUUGGCUUGUUUGCAAAAGCUACCAAAGUAACAACAGCCUAGCUAGAGUACGUGUUUUUUUUAACGGAACUCAUAUACUCCUGAUUUUGCACGGUUAAUUUAUGUCGAUGCGUGGUUAUUCCACAAACAAAACCUAACUCUAUUUGAGCGAUCGUUCAUCGUUCACUCGAUUUGGAUUUGGUGAAUGAUUAGACCGCGACUUCACUGCCCGCGCGCUUUUUUAUUGCUGUGACGUCACUGCUCACACAGGCUAUAAAAAGCAAAAUAUUUAUUUUAAAAUAUUAUAACUUCUAAACUGUGUAUUUAUUUUUAUUCCGUCUACAUCAGACGCGACGAGACGAACAAACUAGACGUCAUUCGUAUAUUCAAAGAAUAUUUUCUAGUAGCAAUUUAUAUGUAUUAACUUAUAAUAUAUAAGUUAUAACUUACAACUUCAUGUGCACGGCGGUGAUGGUGACGGCUGGCUGGAGCCGGGCACAGGCAGCGGCCUGGUGGAGUAGGGUGUGGGCACUGGCAAGGUAGCAGGGGGCGGGCUUCGUGUACCAGAACGGUGGCGUAGGAGAGGUCGCCGAUGUAUAGCACUAUGUCGCGCGAAAGGAGAAUGCUCAUUGGCGUGGCGGAGAGAAAAUGCAUUAGGGAUUUAGGGGGGGGGGGGUUGACCGAAGUGCACGGUUUUUUGCGCGUUUAGGAUGAUUUUUCUAAGUGACAAAAGAUUAGGACACAGAAUUGUAAAUUGUUGGAGAUGGUUUUUUCUAACCUCAAAAAAAAAUUUAGAUUUAGAGAUGCUCUAAGGGCAAGUAUAUUGCUACACGUCAACAGCCUCAUAUUUCGUCUCAUGCAGUACCAAAUUAAGACCCAAUAGAAAGUGUGGACCGAUCUAGCAUGAAAUGUGAAAUUGACAAAUUGCGUUUUGCCAGAUGGAUUCUUUAGAAAGAUUCACCAAUUUAAUGUAAACGAGUUCACCCCGACUCCAGAAAGAAAGAACAAUCUAGAAGCACAACGGAGGCUGAAGAUUCGAGAGAGAGUGAAUUGAUUAUGGUACGAAGCUAGGGUAGGAUUUUUGCUAACGUGGAGGAAAGAGAGAUGAAAGAGAGAAAAAGAUAUUGUUUUGCGAAACAACAACCUCAUGAACUAAAUUUAGGACUAUAAGAAGUUUAACACACCAAUGUACAAGUGCUUGUUGUCAUGCAACUGACAAAUAUUCUAUUAUUGUAUCUAUAAAUUAAGGACUCUAGAAUUACUACAAGAUAACUUAAAAACAAUCCUUUUACUUGUUAUUUCUUGAGUCUAUCUCAUAAUUACGUGGCACUGCAUGAGACUAUGGAGACAGUAUCAACGUAGGAUCAUCACUGGGAGAGGCAGCGGCUGCUGCGAAGGGCAUAUCCCAGCCAAAAAUUAAGCAGGAUUCCUCUCGUUCCUCUCAUAUUUCUAAUCUCCUCGGUUCUUUAUGUAUUGGUACUGAUGUCUGGAUGGGAAUGGUAGUACAACAGUGUUGCAACUCAUGGUGUGGUCCGAAUAGCUGAUUCACUUAGUUUUUUUUUCUCGAAUGCGCAAAAAAUUUGUGUAUCAUUGCAUUUAAGAAAAAGAAGUUUAUCAUACAAACGACGCGCAUCAAGCGCGCUAGGUGGUCUAACAUCUGGACCAACCUAGCAAACUGUUCCUAGCUUCAAUAUUACAUAAAUGGAACAACCAACAUGCCUACAUCGCAAUGUACUACGAGGCUUUCGCGAAGAGCUCCUUAGAGACCCGGUUGAACUCUGAGAACAACGCGUCAAGAGCAUCCACUUGGCUCAAUGUCAAGUUUCCACUUCCAAUGUUGUCGAGUGUUACCUUGGGCAUAGGUGAAAUCAGAGCUAUCGUCGGCAUGAUACCCAACCUCUCCUUGAGGAGUGCCUCGCCUCGCUUGGAGGCCGGUAUGUGUGCCAAUGGUUAGGUGGCAAUCCGUCUACUCUUGGCCCUGGCUGGUAGGGCCCUCAUGGUUGCCGCCUUUUGCCGUGGUGGAGAGGCGAGCAAGGGCGGCCCUCGCCUGACCUGCACCUCAUUCACAAACCGUGCGAGACGUCGAGCGAUCUCGCCCGACAUGGGUGACGCGUCACUAGGGCCAGGGGUAUCUGGCCAUGCGUCCUUCAUCGGCGUAGAAGGGUUAGGUGAGCGGCAACCACCCCGUGUUGACGCAGGAUCUGCAACGUGCGUCGCCUCAUCCACGAUAACGCUAGGUGCCGUCUAAGGAGGCAUGCCCUGCACAAGCGACGAUGGAGGCAGAUCAGUCAUGUCCUGAGCAACCGUUACCGGAGAACUGGUGUCCAAUAGAGGUCGAGCCUCCUGAUGUGAGACGAUGAACUCCUCUUGCAUUGGGUCAAUCCACGUUGGUGGCACCGAGUCCGCACGUGACUCCAACACUAGCGGAUCUAGCUCGGGGCAGUCAGCAUCAAUGGUAGGGGCAGUGCUAUCGUAGCCACUAGCUAUGAUGAUCCACGUCGUCGGCAUACUUUGAUGGCAUCAGCAGCAACAUCAAUGGUGUCAGUGGCAGCGGGCACAACUGACAUCCCCCAUGGCCUUGUGAGCCGCCCCAUCCUCAUUGCAUGAUGCCUAGAUGGCUAGAGGGUCGUGGCAUGUUAGGUUGGCACCCAUCGUCACCGUCUUCGCAAACCUUGGCCGCUUGCAAUCCCUGGCGAGAUGAUAGUAGUCGUGGCAGCGUAGGCAACGUCAUGGCAACCGGUAAGUUACGACACGAUGUGAGUAGGAGAGACAGUUAAAGCAUCUAUCGUGGAGCUCUGGGCGGAUCUGUUGGGCCUAUAGGAGCUGCUUAUGGUGAAGCUCAACUGCUGCGGUCGCAGGUUGUGUCUCCUGUCGUGGUAGGAUCUCUCGCCACCCACUGGCACCGAAGGCGGAGACCCUACUGUGGCGACCAAGGCAUUGACAGGCAGGGAUACAGCCAUCCAAUGACCGAGCAAGAAGGUUGUGCACCAGCUGGGGGCGUGGUCGGCCGCAUCCCUUUCGCCUUUGCCAAGGUCCAUGUCAUCCAACGUCCACCACGUCGCGGCUCCGAAACCCCAGACGAGUUCGAGCGCGUGGCAAGGAUAGAUGAGCCAGCGUAGCCAAUGUGUCCCAAUGAACAGCAUCGAGGUAGGGGGUCAUGGAGGUGGCAUCCUCAUCGGAGUCAUCAUCCACCCAACGACGUGCCUUGGAGCGACCCGCCACGCUACCUCCAGGAUGGAAGGGGUGGCAUGGGGGAAAGGGUGGACAACAUGCUCGCAGCGGGGGCAGAGCCAACAAGGAUGGCGUUGAGUUAAGAGGCAGCGGGGACGAGCAGGGGGCGGGGGAGUGCGGGCCGGGGGGUGAGCACAAGGAGAGAGGGAGGGGAGGGGCGGCGAAGGAGAUGAAGGGAUAGGGUUGAGAUGCUCUAAAUUUUCAUUCCGGGGAGGAAGCCGACACCGCCGCCGGUAGCGGCGUAGGGGCAAACCGGGGGCAAGGUCGGGGUCGAGGGUUGAGAUGCUCCGAAUUUUCAUUCCCAAAACUCCGUUGAUUCGCUUAGUUACUUCUUUGCUAUCGUGCUGCUGAUGAUUGGUUUUCUCUUUACUGUAAAUAAUAAGCUUCAUCUUAUAUGUCAAUUAUGUGUAAAAUAUGGUGGUUGACAUAAUUUUUGCUUUGUCACUAAACAACUUAGCCUGCUAUAGUUCUAAUUAGCCUUUGGGAAAAGCUGCCGCUAAGAGGCUUGCGCCCGCCGGCUAUUUUGAACAUUGCAGAAAAGGAAGUUACUAUUGAAAUUAUUUGAGAAUUUGCAAGAAUUCCUAAAUAUGAGGCUGCUAUGUGUAUGCGUGUUUUUUUUUGUGCAGUUGUAGAAGAUGAGGUUCUGAUUGGCGGCGGCGGCGGCUUUGUGCAGUUGUAGAAGAUGAGGUUCUGAUUGGCGGGACUAUUCGAGAGCGGAGGAGCAAGUACGGGGAUGGUGUCGGCCGUCGGGAUUCGGCACCCACCGCUGCUAGAGCUAGUAUUGAAAUAUGGAUGCCAGUAUCUACGCGGAAGAAUGUGCAAGGAGCGGUUGUCGUAAAAUAUGCUGCGGAUCUGCAUACUGAUAUCGAUCUGAGAGUAUUCGAGGUAUAGGGAGCUAUUGUUGUAGCAACGAACCUUGGACCCAAUCCCGACGUCGCUGCAGUUGGUCUGAUCGGCGCCAUCCGGGAUGAGCCCAAACGGGAAGGAGAUGGUCACGUUGCCGCAUAGCUGUGGACGAUGACAGUGCUCUCCUCCUUGCCCAUCUGAUGCUACCACAGGCUGUAUCAUCAGUGGUAAGGAUAAGGCCACCAACACCGGCGACGAGACUAGCAAGAGCAGCAACAAGGACGGAGCCAUAAGA
Molecule: long non-coding RNA, 12444 nt
Filed under: Sorghum bicolor (sorghum)
Lineage: Eukaryota; Viridiplantae; Streptophyta; Magnoliopsida; Poales; Poaceae
Description: long non-coding RNA (SBIC_LNC004096)
Source: RNAcentral